UACGUAGGGUGCAAGCGUUAAUCGGAAUUACUGGGCGUAAAGCGUGCGCAGGCGGUUAUGUAAGACAGUUGUGAAAUCCCCGGGCCCAACCUGGGAACUGCAUCUGUGACUGCAUAGCUAGAGUACGGUAGAGGGGGAUGGAAUUCCGCGUGUAGCAGUGAAAUGCGUAGAUAUGCGGAGGAACACCGAUGGCGAAGGCAGGUCUCUGGGCUGACACUGACGCUCAUGCACGAAAGCGUGGGGAGCAAACAGG
Molecule: ribosomal RNA, 253 nt
Filed under: uncultured bacterium
Lineage: Bacteria
Description: partial 16S ribosomal RNA
Rfam family: Bacterial small subunit ribosomal RNA
Source: RNAcentral